This 206-nucleotide long non-coding RNA is filed under the name Gossypium barbadense (sea-island cotton). Its description in RNAcentral is "long non-coding RNA (GBAR_LNC010562)". The record is from RNAcentral. Lineage: Eukaryota; Viridiplantae; Streptophyta; Magnoliopsida; Malvales; Malvaceae.
UUGCAUGUCAAUUUUUCCCCCCAUCUAGUAGUGGCCGGCCAUGACAUUAGGAUGGACAAAGGGUGAUGGGCAAAACAUGUCAUAGACAUGUUGUGUUGGUGCAUCAUGGGAGGAAACAAUAAAAUAAAAUAAAGAGUAUGGGUAAUAAAAUAAUAAUGGAAAGGUAAAUGAUGAUGAAAAAAAUUGUCUCAUCCAUGUUUCCCCCC